Molecule: ribosomal RNA, 254 nt
Filed under: uncultured bacterium
Lineage: Bacteria
Description: partial 16S ribosomal RNA
Rfam family: Bacterial small subunit ribosomal RNA
Source: RNAcentral
UACAGAGGGUGCUAACGUUGUUCGGAAUCACUGGGCACAAAGCGCACGUAGGCGGCUUGGUAAGUGCGGUGUGAAAGCCCCCGGCCUAACCGGGGAACUGCAUCGCAGACUGCCAGGCUCGAGAGCGGGAGGGGAGACUGGAACUCCUGGUGGAGCGGUGAAAUGCGUAGAUAUCUGGAGGAAUACCGGUGGCGAAGGCGGCAUCCUGGACCGGCACUGACGCUGAGUGAGCGAAAGCCAGGGGAGCAAACGGG